GUUCGGAAUUACUGGGCGUAAAGCGUACGUAGGCGGAUUAGUAAGUUAGAGGUGAAAUCCCAGGGCUCAACCCUGGAACUGCCUUUUAAUACUGCUAGUCUAGAGUUCGAGAGAGGUGAGUGGAAUUCCAAGUGUAGAGGUGAAAUUCGUAGAUAUUUGGAGGAACACCAGUGGCGAAGGCGGCUCACUGGCUCGAUACUGACGCUGAGGUACGAAAGUGUGGGGAGCAAACAGGAUUAGAUACCCUGGUAGUCCACACCGUAAACGAUGAAUGCCAGACGUCAGCAAGCAUGCUUGUUGGUGUCACACCUAACGGAUUAAGCAUUCCGCCUGGGGAGUACGGUCGCAAGAUUAAAACUCAAAUGAAUUGACGGGGACCCGCACAAGUAGUGGAGCAUGUGGUUUAAUUCGAAGAUACGCGCAGAACCUUACCAACACUUGACAUGUUCGUCGCGACUCUAAGAGAUUAGAGUUUUCGGUUCGGCCGGACGAAACACAGGUGCUGCAUGGCU
This 512-nucleotide ribosomal RNA is filed under the name uncultured Paracoccaceae bacterium. RNAcentral describes it as "bacterial SSU rRNA". It matches the Rfam family "Bacterial small subunit ribosomal RNA", at positions 543 to 1050 of the family's 1533-position model. Lineage: Bacteria; Pseudomonadati; Pseudomonadota; Alphaproteobacteria; Rhodobacterales; Paracoccaceae. The record is from RNAcentral.